This 107-nucleotide small nuclear RNA is filed under the name Myotis brandtii (Brandt's bat). Lineage: Eukaryota; Metazoa; Chordata; Mammalia; Chiroptera; Vespertilionidae. The record is from RNAcentral.
GUGCUUGCUUCGGCAUCACAUAUACUAAAAUUGGAAUGAUACAGAGAAGAUUAGCAUGGCCCCUGUGCAAAGAUGACACACAAAUUCGUGAAGCGUUCCACAUUUAA